UACGAAGGGGGCUAGCGUUGUUCGGAAUUACUGGGCGUAAAGGGCACGUAGGCGGACUACUAAGUCAGGGGUGAAAUCCUGGAGCUCAACUCCAGAACUGCCUUUGAUACUGAGGAUCUUGAGUACGGGAGAGGUGAGUGGAACUGCGAGUGUAGAGGUGAAAUUCGUAGAUAUUCGCAAGAACACCAGUGGCGAAGGCGGCUCACUGGCCAGUAACUGACGCUGAGGCACGAAAGCGUGGGGAGCAAACAGG
Molecule: ribosomal RNA, 253 nt
Filed under: uncultured bacterium
Lineage: Bacteria
Description: partial 16S ribosomal RNA
Rfam family: Bacterial small subunit ribosomal RNA
Source: RNAcentral